GACGAACGCUGGCGGCGUGCUUAACACAUGCAAGUCGAACGGUGAAGCUCCAGCUUGCUGGAGUGGAUCAGUGGCGAACGGGUGAGUAACACGUGAGCAACCUGCCCCUGACUCUGGAAUAAGCGCUGGAAACGGCGUCUAACACUGGAUACGAGAAGGGUCCGCAUGGGCACUUUCUGGAAAGUUUUUCGGUUGGGGAUGGGCUCGCGGCCUAUCAGCUUGUUGGUGAGGUAAUGGCUCACCAAGGCGACGACGGGUAGCCGGCCUGAGAGGGCGACCGGCCACACUGGGACUGAGACACGGCCCAGACUCCUACGGGAGGCAGCAGUGGGGAAUAUUGCACAAUGGGCGAAAGCCUGAUGCAGCGACGCCGCGUGAGGGAUGACGGCCUUCGGGUUGUAAACCUCUUUCAGCAGGGAAGAAGCGAAAGUGACGGUACCUGCAGAAGAAGCACCGGCUAACUACGUG
RNAcentral lists this ribosomal RNA (468 nucleotides) under uncultured bacterium. RNAcentral's name for it is "partial 16S ribosomal RNA". It matches the Rfam family "Bacterial small subunit ribosomal RNA", at positions 28 to 507 of the family's 1533-position model. The record is from RNAcentral.